UGUGUAGGCGGUCGUAUUAGUCUUUCGUGAAAGCUUUUGGGCUUAACCCAGAAAACGCGGGGGAAACGGUACGGCUACGAGGACGUAAGAGGUAAAGGGAACUCAUGGUGUAGGGGUGAAAUCCGUUGAUAUCAUGGGGAACACCAAAUGCGAAGGCACUUUACUGGUACGCUCCUGACGCUGAAACACGAAAGCGUGGGAAUCGAACG
Molecule: ribosomal RNA, 209 nt
Filed under: uncultured bacterium
Lineage: Bacteria
Description: partial 16S ribosomal RNA
Rfam family: Bacterial small subunit ribosomal RNA
Source: RNAcentral